RNAcentral lists this ribosomal RNA (468 nucleotides) under uncultured bacterium. Its description in RNAcentral is "partial 16S ribosomal RNA". It matches the Rfam family "Bacterial small subunit ribosomal RNA", at positions 28 to 507 of the family's 1533-position model. The record is from RNAcentral.
GACGAACGCUGGCGGCGUGCUUAACACAUGCAAGUCGAACGGAAAGGCCCUGCUUUUGUGGGGUGCUCGAGUGGCGAACGGGUGAGUAACACGUGAGUAACCUGCCCUUGACUUUGGGAUAACUUCAGGAAACUGGGGCUAAUACCGGAUAGGAGCUCCUGCUGCAUGGUGGGGGUUGGACAGUUUCGGCGGUUGGGGAUGGACUCGCGGGUUAUCAGCUUGUUGGUGGGGUAGUGGCUUACCAAGGGUUUGACGGGUAGCCGGCCUGAGAGGUGGACCGGCCACAUUGGGACUGAGAUACGGCCCAGACUCCUACGGGAGGCAGCAGUGGGGAAUAUUGCACAAUGGGCGGAAGCCUGAUGCAGCAACGCCGCGUGCGUGAUGACGGCCUUCGGGUUGUAAACCGCUUUCGCCUGUGACGAAGCGUGAGUGACGGUAAUGGGUAAAGAAGCACCGGCUAACUACGUG